AUUGAACGCUGGCGGCAGGCCUAACACAUGCAAGUCGGACGGUAGCACAGAGAGCUUGCUCUCGGGUGACGAGUGGCGGACGGGUGAGUAAUGUCUGGGGAUCUGCCCGAUAGAGGGGGAUAACCACUGGAAACGGUGGCUAAUACCGCAUAACGUCGCAAGACCAAAGAGGGGGACCUUCGGGCCUCUCACUAUCGGAUGAACCCAGAUGGGAUUAGCUAGUAGGCGGGGUAACGGCCCACCUAGGCGACGAUCCCUAGCUGGUCUGAGAGGAUGACCAGCCACACUGGAACUGAGACACGGUCCAGACUCCUACGGGAGGCAGCAGUGGGGAAUAUUGCACAAUGGGCGCAAGCCUGAUGCAGCCAUGCCGCGUGUAUGAAGAAGGCCUUCGGGUUGUAAAGUACCUUCAGCGGGGAGGAAGGCGAUGUGGUUAAUAACCGCGUCGAUUGACGUUACCCGCAGAAGAAGCACCGGCUAACUCCGUGCCAGCAGCCGCUGUAA
RNAcentral lists this ribosomal RNA (504 nucleotides) under uncultured bacterium. RNAcentral's name for it is "partial 16S ribosomal RNA". It matches the Rfam family "Bacterial small subunit ribosomal RNA", at positions 29 to 523 of the family's 1533-position model. The record is from RNAcentral.